RNAcentral lists this non-coding RNA (45 nucleotides) under Schistosoma haematobium. Lineage: Eukaryota; Metazoa; Platyhelminthes; Trematoda; Strigeidida; Schistosomatidae. The record is from RNAcentral.
AUCCAGCUGACGAGCCCCCAAUAAGACGAAACGCGCGUCCCAGAU